GGGGGACAUGAUUGAACGCCAGUGGUGGAAACGACAUUUCUACGGCUGCUGGUUGCUGGUUACUGGUUACUGGUUGCUGGUUGCUGGUUGCGCCUUUGAUGGCCAAAGGGGCCUCUAUCUAAUCGAAAGUAAGACUCCCACCCCUGUCUUCCGUACACCCCACCACGAUUCUUCAGAAGAUUAGCGAAGCUGGGCGGCGAAGGCAUUACGUUUCCUGCGCAAUUUCAGAAAAAGAUUCGGGCUAAAAAACAGACGACGCAACUGUACUUUCACAGCUGAACAGAAGGCCAAUUCUCGCCGAGAGUCAAGAAUCUCGAAUAUCUCUGUCUGGUUUCUAAGGAAUUUCAAUGGCAGAGAUUCUGCGUGUAGAGGCUAAUCUUCUAGCGAUAAGUGGUAUCUGGCGUAUUAGCAUAAAUAGCCAUAAUCUAGAAUCCCUGAAAGAAAGCCUUAAAGUCCGACCGGCUGGCUGGCUAUCUUCCAUUGGAAUUUGUGCGAUUUCCAGAUGAUCACCUGUCCGAACGGAAGGUGCUGCCACAAAAUCCCAACUCGGACACGUCCAGCCGUCCAGUUCGAGCUUAUGUAAGUGGCUCAGGGUACAGGAAGACGUGUCCAAAUUCAAUUUGGCCGAUGACGAAACCAACAAACUGAAAUCGAAGCCCCUUUCGCAGAGCCCCUUGCGAUUCACUUCCAAUGCGAAAAAUGGCAUGCUGCAUGUCUUCAUUAUCUUUUCGAAUACAAGUAUGCUUUAUAUAAUAGAAUACAGAGGAAUAUAUAUAUAUAUACAUGUGUGAUUUGCGGGAGACAAAGGUAAUCCCUGGGUAUUGCACGCGUUGUCGAUAAGCGAUCGAAUUGUAAACUCACUCAAUGCAAUCAGGCCAUUAAAUUGUAUUUGUAUCGUUCCACC
Molecule: long non-coding RNA, 904 nt
Organism: Drosophila ananassae
Lineage: Eukaryota; Metazoa; Arthropoda; Insecta; Diptera; Drosophilidae
Exons: 3
Source: RefSeq, a predicted model, not a curated record